GAGUGGAUAGGACAGUCAAAUGUAGUAGAAGUGUGAAUGCAUGGAAUGAGUAGGAUGAGCUAGAAUGGUUUUUUAGCUAAGUUCUUGCUUUGCUCUCUCUCUCUCUUCGAGUUUAUAUAUACCUGACCUGACCUUUGAGAUUUGUCUCAGAGCCACAACUUUUCCUUGACUGCAGCAACAUCAGUCUUCUCUUCAACUAGGAGUAUCAUUCACCAACACUACCAUCUCUUCUCCAUCCGUCUCUUCCAUCACUUUCUUGAAGCCAUUCAUUCAUUUCCAAUUCCAAAGCCAUCAAUGGCAACUUUUUCGUACCAACGCCAACAACAACCUUUACAUCUUGAAUCAUCAUCAGGACUGUUUUUGCAAAGCAGCUCCCAAAUGAGGAUGUCUGCAGGCCUUCUUGAGGAGCCAAACAUGACAAGAAUGACCACCACCACUACUUCUUUCCCUCAUUCUACCAGCCUGAUCAUUUUCUGCAUCAGGAAAUCCCUUCCAAAUCCUAUGUUAAUGAAAGUACUUGUUCCAUCUUUGACCAGAGCUGCACAAAAGUUGCUCAUUUUAGCAAUAAUGGGCCGUCCUUAACAAACAAAACUUCCACUGAUUCUUCAUCAGUAACUGAUAAACUUGAAAGUGGGGAGCAAGUUACUCAGAAGGUACAUGCUGCAGCCAUGGACAAGAAGAGGAAAACAAAGAAGGGCCUCUUCCUGUAAAUUCUGCUCAAUCAAAAGCUAUAGGAGAUCAAUUAGCUAAAGGGAAAAAGCAGAGGAAAUGUGGCAGAAUUAUGAAAGAGGAUGAAGACAAGAAGUCUAAUGAGGAUAAAAAAGUUCCAGAGAAAGCUGCUGAAGAAGCUCCCCCACAGGCUACAUUCACGUAAGAGCAAGGAGGGGCCAAGCCACGGACAGCCACAGCCUAGCUGAAAGGGUGAGGAGAGAGAAAAUCAGUGAAAGGAUGAAAAUAUUGCAAGCACUUGUUCCAGGUUGUGACAAGGUAACCGGAAAGGCCCUCAUGUUGGAUGAAAUAAUCAAUUACGUCCAAUCCUUACAAAAUCAAGUUGAGUUUCUAUCCAUGAAGCUUGCUUCUCUAAAUCCGAUGUUCUAUGAUUUUGCAUGGACUUGGAUCCAUAUAUUGCAAGACCAGAACCGACGCUGAGUAACAUGGCAUCACCGGUUCAAAAAUAUGCAACAAUGUGAUCCAAUGCAGGCACCAAUCAUUUCUGGCCACAAAACAAUAGCUUGAAGAACUGAUACUGCCAAUAACUAUCCUCAGUUGGAUUCUUCAGCUUCAGCAUUAUUAAUUCAAGAAAGCCACCACAUCCCUCAAAUUCUCUCUCAGGAAAAUGGACAGCUCUUGUGGGAUGUGGAUGACCGAAGACAGAAACUUAUUAAUCAGACGGGGUUCAACAACAACUUGUGUUCGUUUCAUUAAUUAUAAGACCAAAGGGCAAGAGUUGCCCUACACAUAUCUGGUUUGUCAAGAUUUGUGAAGGGCAAAAAGGUAGUGCCAGACAAAUGUUACUGUAGUUUUUUAUUCCUUAGUAUCAAUUCUAAUGGAGAAGGGUUUCAGCUUUCAUAUUGGUUUGAUCACCUCUCAAAGCUCGGAUUCUGAAUUCAUUGGAGGAAUGGGGUCUUCUCUCUCCCUGAUCACAUGAAUAAAAAGAAAAGCAAAGUAAAGGGCAUGAAGAGGAUAGCAAUCAAUGGACACACAAGGACAAACACAACCGACCAAAUAUGACUAGAUCUUUUUCAGAUCCUUUGUUCCUGUCUAAUUUGACUCCCAACUGUCAGAAGCACAAAUUCCUAGCUAGAGACUUGGCUUUACAUAUGUACUUAAUAUGAGGUAAAUCCAAGAAAAUAUAAUGUAAACAGUUGUAAAAGAAUCUGUUAAGGUAUCAUAAUACUGAGUUGCAUGUAACUUGCUGGUAGUAGUCUAGUAGUCCCGCGUUUCUUCUUCUUAGUAUUGUCACUGUAAUUCUGUUAUACUAGAAGAUAGUUUUUACCGUUGUAGUUUUCUUGUCCCUUUGUUACAUUGAAUUGCACUGCGAGUCUGCUACUA
Molecule: non-coding RNA, 2052 nt
Organism: Coffea arabica (coffee)
Lineage: Eukaryota; Viridiplantae; Streptophyta; Magnoliopsida; Gentianales; Rubiaceae
Source: RefSeq, a predicted model, not a curated record